Microcebus murinus (gray mouse lemur) is the source of this 1544-nucleotide non-coding RNA. The record is from RefSeq and is a predicted model, not a curated record. NCBI's taxonomy places the organism in Eukaryota, Metazoa, Chordata, Mammalia, Primates, Cheirogaleidae.
UGGAUUUCAUUUUUCCCCACCAGCUUGCCUAGAGCAGUGUUGGGCAAUGACAGAGGCAAUUGAUGGAAAGAGAAUAUGAGGGAGGAGAAAGAAAUCCAUCAGCAACACGUGUGAAAUGUAACGUUCAGUGACAUGAAAUAACAACCCAAAGCAGCCCACACAGAGGGGAGGACGUAGGUGGCGGGAAGUCACAUGUGACAUAGAUAUAAGGACAGACACAGCCCCCUGCGAGAGGACUGAAGCCAAUGUAACCCUGGAAUGCAGCAGGAAUAUUCAGACAGGACAGAAGCCGCAUGGAAAAACCAAGUCUUUGUUUACUUAGUGCUAUAAACUAUAUUUUGUCCUGUAUUUUCUAAUGGAUUUGGAGGUAUGGGAGAAGGUACAGAGAAGAUUGUCAUGAGAGAUUUCGAUUUUUUACAUUGCAAAAGUUUUACAUUAUUUAGGAAAAGUCCCAAGAUCUGUUUUAACGGUGAAGAAAUGGUGGAGUGACUACUUAACAACAGUAAGAAAAUAAAACGCGUGCAGAAACUGUUUCUGCCUAGAUAUUUCCACACAGACACAAGAAUGGACGAGAGGAAAGAUGCUUAGAUUUACUGAGAAAUGAAGGGGUCUGGGGCGUGAGCACAUGUCUACACCACUCUGGAGCAUGGCCGCUCAGGGGAUGUCCCCAUCAGUGGUGUCCCCUUUAGGCGAGGCCACCAGGCUUGUGUAUCAGCACGGCCAGGCACCUGGGGGGCAGCGGCUCCUAACAUUCCGUGCACCUGCACAUAAUUCCGUUAUGACGACUGCAGACAGUUACCUGGCUCGCUCAGCUCACUGCCUCACUUUGGUGGGAGUCUGAGCUGCAGGCAGUGCCUUAGGCGCUGAGCUCUGGCAUCUGGAACCCGAUCCACUGCAAAGCGAAGGACAGUCGAGGUCUGUGGGGUGUGGAUCACGUUUUCCCAACCAUGAGUUAAGAAGCACAGUGUUGGUCCUCCAUCACUCCGGAUGAAACCUGUUUGAUUUCAUUUGUUCUUCACCCCGUCACGUGUUUGGGUUUCUUCCCCCCAGUCCCUGGCUGUGCCUCUUCUGCGACGGCCGGCAGCAUGGCAGGGUCUCUCAGUCCUCUGUCCAGGCAGGGGGCGGAGAUGGACGUCUGUCCGCGAGAAGAACAGGGAACUGCGCUCCCAGCUGGCAGAGAGCAAGCAGCAGCUUCGAGACCUCAGGGAGAAACUGAGUAUUUCAGAAUCGACGGCCUUCUCCCUCACCAACCGGCUGCAGAACUAUAGAAGGCAAAGGGAGCAUUUUAACCUCAUUUUUCUGAGGAUGGAGAAACUGAGGCACAAAGAGUUUGACCACGAUUCCAGAUACUGCAAGAGCACUUUUCAACAGUCUCCCUCGGGGCCAGUCUUUCACAGUUCAAAGACCUCUUGUUCCUGUCCUACCUCCUGGCUUCCUGUUUCAUCUUUGGACCAUAUAAGAGACAUAAUUGUGAGAGUUUACAUAUUAAGUUUUAUUAUUGUUAAAUUUGUUUACUUAGAAGAAUAAAUAUCUAUGUAUUUAUA